Molecule: long non-coding RNA, 206 nt
Organism: Ailuropoda melanoleuca (giant panda)
Lineage: Eukaryota; Metazoa; Chordata; Mammalia; Carnivora; Ursidae
Exons: 3
Source: RefSeq, a predicted model, not a curated record
CCCAGGACCCUGGGAUCAUGACCUGAGCCGAAGGCAGCCGCUCAACCGACUGAGCCACCCAGAGUUCUACUGUAUGAAUGUACCAGAGUUUGCUUUCUAUUCACCUACUGAUGGAAAAUUGGGGUUGUUUCCAGUUUGGGACAAUUCUGGAUAAGGCUUCUAUGAACACAGAGAUAGAGACAGCCAGCGAGAGAGGGAACACAAGC